UACGAAGGGUCCAAGCGUUGUUCGGAAUUACUGGGCGUAAAGCGCGCGUAGGCGGGCUUGUAAGUUGAUUGUGAAAGCCCUGGGCUUAACCUGGGAAUGGCAGUCAAAACUGCAAGUCUUGAAUGUCUGAGAGGAUGGCGGAAUUCCCGGUGUAGUAGUGAAAUACGUAGAUAUCGGGAAGAACACCUGAGGCGAAGGCGGCUAUCUGGCGGUACAUUGACGCUGAGGCGCGAAAGCGUGGGGAGCAAACAGG
This 253-nucleotide ribosomal RNA is filed under the name uncultured bacterium. RNAcentral describes it as "partial 16S ribosomal RNA". It matches the Rfam family "Bacterial small subunit ribosomal RNA", at positions 524 to 776 of the family's 1533-position model. The record is from RNAcentral.